Non-coding RNA from Pelobates cultripes (western spadefoot toad), 306 nucleotides. NCBI's taxonomy places the organism in Eukaryota, Metazoa, Chordata, Amphibia, Anura, Pelobatidae. The record is from the annotation of a GenBank genome assembly.
CACAGCUGUACUAAUUACUUACUGGAUCCUAGAAACGUAUUCAUGGAGUAUGUAUUAAAGUGCAAACUAAGAAGAAGAAAAAUGGGAAAAAAUUGACUUUCAUUCAGAAACCUCAUCAUUAUCCAUUUCCCAUCAUCUGACCUAAAACAGUCAAUACUGGGAAAAGCAAUUCUACCCUGAUAGAGAUAAAAGUAUCUGUUUUUACGUGCAGGACCUUAUCACCACAACCCACUGUCUCUAUGGGUGCCAACUACAGGUCCCUUAACACUUGUCUUUCAGUAUGAUACGGAGUCACUUGAAUUUCAU